This 292-nucleotide ribosomal RNA is filed under the name uncultured bacterium. RNAcentral's name for it is "partial 16S ribosomal RNA". It matches the Rfam family "Bacterial small subunit ribosomal RNA", at positions 28 to 334 of the family's 1533-position model. The record is from RNAcentral.
GACGAACGCUGGCGGCAUGCUUAACACAUGCAAGUCGAACGACUUGUUGAGUGCUUGCACUUAACAGGGAGUGGCGGACGGGUGAGUAACACGUGGGAACGUACCUUUCAGUGGGGGAUAACUUUGGGAAACCAAAGCUAAUACCGCAUACGCCCUUAGGGGGAAAGAUUUAUUGCUGAAAGAGCGGCCCGCGGUAGAUUAGGUAGUUGGUGGGGUAAUGGCCUACCAAGCCUUCGAUCUAUAGCUGUUCUGAGAGGAAGAUCAGCCACACUGGGACUGAGACACGGCCCAG